UAACACACACAACCCACACCCACCGUCACUCUUCUUCACCCUCUCAGCACACACACACACCCAAAGAAAGAAAAGGAACAGAGGGAACGGGGAGAGCAGAGGGGAAGGGAGAUCGGUAAAGAAAAAGAGAAGAGGGAGGAGCUGUGUCACCACCGCUGGCCUUGGGCUCGCCAUUCAUGCCUGUUGUUUGUUGCCAUUGAAGGAGGAGGAGCACGAACCAGAGCCACGAGGAGAGGGAGUCGCGCCGCCGUCCCUGCUCCGUCGUGGAUCAGAUCUGAGGCGAGGGAGAGGACAGCGAUGGGGGAAGGAGUCGCGCUACCCAGUCGCCAUCCGUGGGGAGUCGUCGUCGGUCUGCACGCCGCCAACGUCACCGGCGUUGUCGCGAGAAGGAGAGAGAGCCACGCCGGAGGAGAAGGACUGUCGCGGAGCUGUCCUUGCCACUGCGCCCAGUUGCUAUCGCGAGCCUCGUCACCGCUGAUGGGGGUGCGCCGCCAAGCUCCUGCCGCCGGAAAACCCCGCUGCCGUUGCUGAUGACCACUAUCGUUGUUAUAGUCACCGUCGCCGGAGUUCUGGUCGCCACUGUCGUUUGAGAUGGCUACCGGAGUUGUCGUUAGAUCAGUUCAGAGACCGUUGCUGUUUCGUUUUUCUUAUUUUGGUUUUUUCCUUUUCAGGAUAUGGCCGACGAAACUUCAGAAGAGUUAUAUUCAUUUUCUAUUUAUUCGAUAUUAUUUUGUAUUAUCUUUGUUAUUAUUUUUCCCUCGCCUUAUUUUUAGCAAUUUUUGCAAGAGGGAUAGGAAUUUUGAUAUGUGAAGUUUGUAUAUAUAUAUAUAUAUAUAUAUAUAUUUGAAAGUAUUGUAAUUUGUAUUGUCACAUAUGGACGUAUGUUUUGAAUAUUCGGAUUCAGUUUUAAACAGGCUCAUAUUUUAGUACUAAAUAUUUUAAGAGUUGUCGUAAUACUCGAGUUAUCAGAGUGGCGCAGUCGGAAGUGCGACUUUUGAUAGUUAGGGUGUUACAACAACGACUUCUAUAUAUAACUGUAAUAAGUAGGAGCAUUUACCUGCAACCCUUUUUGACUUUUUUUUGGAAAAAUCGGUAUAUCUUUUU
Arachis duranensis is the source of this 1104-nucleotide long non-coding RNA. RefSeq lists it as uncharacterized. Lineage: Eukaryota; Viridiplantae; Streptophyta; Magnoliopsida; Fabales; Fabaceae. The record is from RefSeq and is a predicted model, not a curated record. The transcript has 3 exons.